GUGGGCAAUGGUCACAAUAACCCUGAGAUUGAGAGAGAACAAAUUGAAAAUGUAGAAGCAGUGAAAAAGGAAUAAAAGCAGACUGGCAGAAAAAUCCCAGUGUGUCGGAGACUCUCCCAUAAUCCCGUCAUCCACUCAUUUCUAUGGCGAUGAUGCAGAGCUCUAUAGGUGACGUCACUCCUAUAAAUAUUCAUCAGAUGAAAGUGAGCUUUUCACUAAAUCCACCCUUUUUAAGCACAAACUCCUGGUCCCGAUGGGACACUAUCAUAUGGAAACAUUCAAUAACAGAUCUGACUCAAAGAACAACACUAUAGAGUUAGAAAUGUGGCAAAUAAGGAAGUGCAUUAUUUGAUAUUGCAGCCCAUAUUUCAUUUUUGUCAUGUUGAUCUCACACAUCAAUGUGUGAUCACAGUCAGGGAUGAAAACAUAGACCUGUCAUUUGGCAGCUGUAAGUUGUUUGGAUGUGGCCAGUGGGUUCAGAGAUUUGACAGUGUCCAUGUUGGUGGGAACAGUUUUACCAAUGAUAAAUGGUACAGUGUAAAGAUUGAUAUGCCCUUAACUUACCUACCAGACUCUUGACCUGGGGUACUUUCAAAUGGUGGUGAAGUAGUUAGCACUGUGACAACACUGUCAAAUCCUUGCUGGGCCUUUCUUUGAGGAGAUAGCAUGAUCUUCUUAAUAAUAAUAAUAAUAAUAACUUUAUUUAUAUAGCACCUUUAAAAACAGAAGUUUACAAAGUGCUUUGACAACAGUUGCAAGCACAGAACAUCAGCACAUGAAAAUAAAAAAAUAAAAACAAAAGCUCAGUUAAAAACAAGGCCUCUGAAUUGAAGGCCAGUUUCAUUUUUCAUAAGAAACCCAGGCAAUACAAGAACCCUACAACAUAAAAUGGGAUCAUGAGGACCAGAAUAAAAACAAAAAAUGAAUUAGAAAAGGAGGGCAGAAAGCAGGAAACAGGCUAGUAAGUAUAAAAGAGGAUAUUAAUAAUUAUAAUAAAAUCAUAAUAAAAUAAUAAUGAUGGUUACAUAAAUGAUAAAAUGGAAUAAUGAAAAACAUUAAAAUCAAUGAGGGACCUAAGAGAUAAAAUAAGAAAAGAUUAUAAGUAAAACAAAGGCUAAAAGGAUAGCAAGUCGAAAUAAGAUAGAGGUAAAAGAGAUAAAAGAAAAAGGAGAAAAAAGUAAAAGACGGCAUCACACAAAAGCAAGUCUGUAAAAGUGAGUUUUCUAGUGGUGGGCAAAACCGGUCAUUUCAGGGAACCGGAUCAUUCCGGGUCGUUCAGUAAAAAGACCCGUUCAUUUCGUUCUUUUCGGUCAAUCGGUCAUUAGUCAGUCCGCUCGUCUGCGAGUUGGCUCAUAAGGUAUUAAAAGCUCUGAAAUAUAGCUUGGAGCAAGUCCUUUGAGCACUUUAAAAGUAAUCAUCUUCUUGUGUCUGAUUUUCCAGCUAGGCGCACUGGCUUCUUUCCAAAGUGCAAAAACUUGUUAGUGUGUACUACACCUCUAGCCCAGUAACAGCUGGAGUUGGCCACAGCCUUAUGCAACCCUCAACAGACUAAUCAGGAAUUGAUAGAUGGUGUCAGACCUUGAGACUUAUCAUCUAUGGUACAAUUCUAAUAAUGUUUAAUUUUAAGAGCUAUAAAUUUAAAACUGAGAAAAGGGUUGGUGAUUAUUGGUGCAUCUGGAAUGCUUGACAUUCUUGACCAUUUCAAGGACUCCAGCUAAACCAAUAAAAGUCUUACAUUUGGAAAUAAGUCAGGCGCUGUAAGGUGAUGACACAGGAGUACCAUGUUUUGCAAAUAGAUGGAGGCUGUUUGAAGCAGGAUGGGAGACAUGGCAGCUUGGAUAUAGUUCCCUUCCCUUCUAUCUCAACAUCGUCACAGCGUCAUCAUACAAGCAAACUUUCAAAAAAUGAACCCCUGGAGAGCUGGAUAAAGUUGUGUUGUUUUUAUUGCAAAAAUAAAUGAAUAAAAUAAAUGAGUAACAAAAGCUUUCUAAACAAUAAAUCACAGCAUUUAAAGCCUGUGGUCAAUGAUAGUAGGUGCUGUGAGCCAUCAUGUGGCCAUGUGUCAGCUGCCCUUACUUAUAGGCGAGUGCCCUCCCCACCUGUGGAGGGCGCAGACAAACUUAAAAGGUCAACUAUGUAAAUACAAACCAUAGACUGUAUAAAGAAUGGACAGAGUCUGCCUCCUUGCUGGGUGAAGCCACUCCGAGAACAGCACCCUCUGUUGACGGGCUGCAGUACAGGUCAUAAAUCCCGCCUCCGCCAGCAAAGCUUAUGAAGCUGUGGACAAACUUUAGAAAUUUAUUACACAGAAUAUACAUUUUUCUCCCCCCUGCUUGUGAUGUUGACAUGUAGUUACAGUAAGACUGGUUUGUGCUCAAGUCCUUUUUUUCUGUUCAGCUCUGUUUUUAAAAGUUAUUAGGGGGUUCAUGUUUUCUAUGAUUGACACCUGGUACAGCCUAUGGGGGAUUCGCUGUUUGAGCCGAGCGUCAUCACAGGGACUCUCGGCGACUGCGCGGCUGAAUGCGCGCAUCGCUACUGCGCAGCUCUGGUUUCGAGGAGGUGGAGAAAAACCCGGAAUUACCGAGAGCUUUUUGGCUUCAAAUCCGUAUACAGGCGGAAGGCAGAACCAGGUCGUCCAUAGUAUAUACAGUCUAUGAUACAAACUCAAACUUGGCUCCUACAGUAUGCUUAAAGCUAAUGGAAAUGUAUCAUAAAGCAAAUAAAUAUUGUAAAAAGUUGUUUUUAAUCAUAGACUGUAUACAGAAUGGACGUGUCUGCCUCCCCGCUGGGUGAAGCCACCGCAAGAACAGCACCCUCUGGUGACAGGCUGCAGUAUAGAACAUAAAUCCCACCUCCUCCAGCAAUCCUUAUGGAGUUGUCAACAAACUUUAGAAAUUUAUUACACAGAAUAUACAUUUUUCUCCCCCUGGUUGCAGUGUUGAUGUGUAGUUACUGUACGACUGGUUUGUGCUCAAGUCCUCAUUUUUCUGUGCUGCUCCAUUUUUAACAGUUAUCAGGGGGUUCAUGUUUUCUAUGAUUGACACUUGACACAGGCUAUGGGCGUACGAAGAUUGCGUAGCUCACCUGGGGAUAUGCUAUUUGAGCAGCAGCAGCACGUCAUCACAGUGACUCUCGGCGACUCUCCCACCGAAUGCCUACAAUGCUACUGUGCAAGUGGUGGAGUGCGUACAACGCCACGGUGCAAGAGAUGGUUCCAUGAAGUGGAGAAAAUCCCAGAAAUACAGAGAGCAAUUCGGCUGCAAACUUGUAUAAUGACAGAAGGCAGAGCCAAGUUGUCCAUAGUUUAUACAGUCUAUGGUUUUAAUGGAAAGACCUCGAAGUUUGAGAUAUCGAAGAAUGGUGCCAAAGUGCUCUGAUUGGUUGUAGGUCUGUCUUUUUGUUUCCAGAGGCACUUCCAGAGACUGUUGCUUAAUGCUCCCUGAAAAAAGGAAAUUGAAUCAGACCCACUCAUGAAGUUGUGGUUGAAUAAUCAAAUAGGGAAUUCUUUUCUUCAGUGCAGCCGAGAUGACUGGUUUCUGCUUUUUCACCUUUAAUCCACCCUUAAAGGAAUGCAGUGACUCUACUCACUCAAAGGAGAUUGGGGGUGAAUUUCCACACCAAACCAUGGUCUUUUUACAACCUCCUGUCUGUGGGAAACAUAGACUGUAUAUAGAAUGGACAGCAUCUGCCUCC
Molecule: long non-coding RNA, 3693 nt
Filed under: Xyrichtys novacula (pearly razorfish)
Lineage: Eukaryota; Metazoa; Chordata; Actinopteri; Labriformes; Labridae
Source: RNAcentral